This 253-nucleotide ribosomal RNA is filed under the name uncultured bacterium. RNAcentral describes it as "partial 16S ribosomal RNA". It matches the Rfam family "Bacterial small subunit ribosomal RNA", at positions 524 to 776 of the family's 1533-position model. The record is from RNAcentral.
UACGUAGGCAGCGAGCGUUGUCCGGAAUCACUGGGCGUAAAGGGCGCGUAGGCGGCUUGACAAGCGUGCGGUGAAAGCCCGGGGCUCAACCCCGGGUCGGCCGUGCGAACUGUCGAGCUGGAGCACUGUAGAGGCAGGUGGAAUUCCGGGUGUAGCGGUGGAAUGCGUAGAGAUCCGGAAGAACACCGGUGGCGAAGGCGGCCUGCUGGGCAGUGGCUGACGCUGAGGCGCGACAGCGUGGGGAGCAAACAGG